CCUACGGGAGGCAGCAGUGGGGAAUUUUGGACAAUGGGGGCAACCCUGAUCCAGCCAUUCCGCGUGUGCGAUGAAGGCCUUCGGGUUGUAAAGCACUUUUGGCAGGAAAGAAAUCGCACCGAUUAAUACUUGGUGUGGAUGACGGUACCUGCAGAAUAAGCACCGGCUAACUACGUGCCAGCAGCCGCGGUAAUACGUAGGGUGCAAGCGUUAAUCGGAAUUACUGGGCGUAAAGCGUGCGCAGGCGGUUCGGAAAGAGAGGUGUGAAAUCCCAGGGCUCAACCUUGGAACUGCACUUUUAACUACCGAGCUAGAGUAUGUCAGAGGGGGGUGGAAUUCCGCGUGUAGCAGUGAAAUGCGUAGAUAUGCGGAGGAACACCGAUGGCGAAGGCAGCCCCCUGGGAUAAUACUGACGCUCAUGCACGAAAGCGUGGGGAGCAAACAGGAUUAGAUACCCUGGUAGUCCACGCCCUAAACGAUGUCAACUAGCUGUUGGGGCCUUCGGGCCUUAGUAGCGCAGCUAACGCGUGAAGUUGACCGCCUGGGGAGUACGGUCGCAAGAUUAAAACUCAAAUGAAUUGACGG
Molecule: ribosomal RNA, 585 nt
Filed under: uncultured beta proteobacterium
Lineage: Bacteria; Pseudomonadati; Pseudomonadota; Betaproteobacteria
Description: bacterial SSU rRNA
Rfam family: Bacterial small subunit ribosomal RNA
Source: RNAcentral